CACUUACCUGCGAGGGAGCCGGGCCUCUGCAGGGUGGCGGUGGCGUACAGCUCCUGGGAGUGCUUGCUGUACUGCUCGGCAGCGUGAACCAGCCGCUUGGUGGGCGACAGAGUGGCGUCCUGUAAAUCAGCAGCAUGGAGAAGAUUAGAAAAAAAACAGAGGAGGAUGAUGGACAUGCCUACAACUGGGAGCCAACCCACAGUGAAACCUCAGAUGGGAUGGAGAGCAGAAGGCUUUGCCAGGAAUGAGAGAAGACAAAUGGGAUUUUCCUUCACAGUCUGGAAACCCAGGCCCUGGAAGGCAUGGCAGAGUUAGAAGAGUCAUCCAUUUGGAGAGUGAGGGAAGCAGAGAGGCUUCUUCUGAAGCUCUUUUCAUUGUAUUACCCACCCUUCUUACUGGCAGUUGUGUUACAGACAGUGCACACAAAGCAAACCUACUCAGUGUUGCAUGGCUACCUCAUUCUUCAUCCUGCCACCUUGGGACUUCCUUGAAAGUGGUCCAAAACAAAGGAAAAAAAAAACAAACUCUCAUGGAUUACUCUGUGACACUCAAUAUUCAGUUCCAG
Molecule: long non-coding RNA, 565 nt
Filed under: Gallus gallus (chicken)
Lineage: Eukaryota; Metazoa; Chordata; Aves; Galliformes; Phasianidae
Source: RNAcentral